Drosophila biarmipes is the source of this 633-nucleotide RNA transcript. RefSeq lists it as uncharacterized. The record is from RefSeq and is a predicted model, not a curated record. The transcript has 4 exons. NCBI's taxonomy places the organism in Eukaryota, Metazoa, Arthropoda, Insecta, Diptera, Drosophilidae.
UUUUUAACAUGCCCCUACUAACAAAGGCUGCCAAAUUGCGUGCUAAGCGUGUUUACGAGCCUUAAGACUCCAAAACUGUUGUCAGCUCGUCUAAAAAAAAUGUGUUUAAAAGCUUGUGAGGAAAUUCUUUUCCCUCUCAAUUCGACGCAAUUUCUCCCUACAAUUACCUCUUUGAAAGGAUUUUGAAAGAGUUGAGAGACUUAGGGAAGAGAAAAUUUUAAUGCAAUUGGAGGAAAGUAGGCGCAGGGAAGAAGGAACACAAAAACUUUUAAAAACGCUAACGGGCGAGGUUAGGCAACUUAAGUCCGUACCGGAGCCGUUAGCAAACAACCUCCAAGUGCUGCCUUACGAAACCCUGCCUGAUUUUAAGGAUUUUGACCAGAAAUUCCUGAACGAUGACGAAAUCCGUAAAGAACUGAAACCAAAACUAAAAAUGGUUCGAGGGCAAGAUGUUCCCUCUUUUACGAGAUUGGCCAUCAAUGCCAUUAUUUCAAAUAAACUGGCAGUGGAUAUAACGUGGCGAGGAACCCCAGACAAACCAAGCUUUCAAAUAUUCUCGACUUAUGCGAUCAUUAAAUUAUUUUUUAUUAUUACUGAAUAAAAACAAACGUUUUUUUUCUGUUCUUUUAGAAA